GACGAACGCUGGCGGCGUGCUUAACACAUGCAAGUCGAACGGUAAGGCCCUUCGGGGUACACGAGUGGCGAACGGGUGAGUAACACGUGGGUGAUCUGCCCUGCACUUCGGGAUAAGCCUGGGAAACUGGGUCUAAUACCGGAUAGGACCACUGCCUGCAUGGGUGGUGGUGGAAAGCUUUUGCGGUGUGGGAUGGGCCCGCGGCCUAUCAGCUUGUUGGUGGGGUGAUGGCCUACCAAGGCGACGACGGGUAGCCGGCCUGCGAGGGUGACCGGGCGCACUGGGACUGAGAUACGGCCCAGACUCCUACGGGAGGCAGCAGUGGGGAAUAUUGCACGAUGGGCGCAAGCCUGAUGCAGCGACGCCGCGUGAGGGAUGACGGCCUUCGGGUUGUAAACCUCUUUCAGCACCGACGAAGCGCAAGUGACGGUAGGUGCAGAAGAAGGACCGGCCAACUACGUGCCAGCCGCCGCCGCCG
RNAcentral lists this ribosomal RNA (478 nucleotides) under uncultured bacterium. RNAcentral describes it as "partial 16S ribosomal RNA". It matches the Rfam family "Bacterial small subunit ribosomal RNA", at positions 28 to 523 of the family's 1533-position model. The record is from RNAcentral.